CCUACGGGUGGCUGCAGUGGGGAAUAUUGGUCAAUGGGCGCAAGCCUGACCCAGCAACGCCGCGUGAAGGAUGAAGGCUUUCGGGUUGUAAACUUCUUUUCUCAGGGACGAAGAAAGUGACGGUACCUGAGGAAUAAGCCACUGCUAACUACGUACCAGCAGCCGCGGUACUACGUAGGUGGCAAGUGUUAUCAGGAUUUACUGGGUGUAAAGGGUGUGUAGGCGGGAUAGCAAGUCAGAUGUGAAAACUAGGGGCUCAACCUGUGGACUGCAUUUGAAACUGUUUUUCUUGAGUACAGGAGAGGCAGACGGAAUUCCUGGUGUAGCGGUGAAAUGCGUAGAUAUUAGGAGGAACACCAGUGGCGAAGGCGAUCUGCUGGACAGCAACUGACGCUGAGGCGCGAAAGCGUGGGGAGCAAACAGGAUUAGAUACCCGUGUAGUC
This 443-nucleotide ribosomal RNA is filed under the name uncultured bacterium. RNAcentral's name for it is "partial 16S ribosomal RNA". It matches the Rfam family "Bacterial small subunit ribosomal RNA", at positions 338 to 795 of the family's 1533-position model. The record is from RNAcentral.